CAGCAGCCGCGGGAAUACGUAGGGGGCAAGCGUUGUCCGGAAUUAUUGGGCGUAAAGCGCGCGCAGGCAGUUCUUUAAGUCUGGUGUAUAAGUGCGGGGCUCAACCCCGUGAGGCACUGGAAACUGGGGAACUUGAGUGCAGAAGAGGAGAGCGGAAUUCCACGUGUAGCGGUGAAAUGCGUAGAGAUGUGGAGGAACACCAGUGGCGAAGGCGGCUCUCUGGACUGUAACUGACGCUGAGGCGCGAAAGCGUGGGGAGCAAACAGGAUUAGAUACCCCUGUAGUCCCUGUCUCUUAUACA
RNAcentral lists this ribosomal RNA (301 nucleotides) under uncultured bacterium. RNAcentral describes it as "partial 16S ribosomal RNA". It matches the Rfam family "Bacterial small subunit ribosomal RNA", at positions 509 to 808 of the family's 1533-position model. The record is from RNAcentral.